AUCAAGAGCAUUGAGAUCAAAGAGUCUCAAAAGCCUAAAGAAUCGGAAAAGCCUAAAGAGCCCGAAAAGCCCAAGGUGGUGGAGAAGCCUAAAGAGCUCGAGAAACCUAAAGUAGUAGUCGUGGAGAAGCCUAAAGAACCUGAGAAACCCAAAGUGGUGGUUGUAGAGAAGCCUAAAGAAUCAGAGAAACCUAAAGUAGUAGAGAAGCCUAAAGAAUCCGAAAAACCUAAAAUAGUGGCGGUGGAGAAGCCUAAAGAACCUGAAAAGCCCAAAGAACCCGUGAAGCCCAAGGAACCAGAGAAGCCUAAAGAGCCCGAAAAGCCAAAGGAGGUUCAGAAGCCCAAAGAGCCCGAAAAGCCCAAAGAAGCACCUAAACCAGCACCACCAGUAGCUCUUCCCCCACAACCACAACCACAAUUUCCGGCAGUUCCAGAACCAGUGAUCGUGAUGCCAGUUCAAGGAUAUCCACACCAACCCUCUCCGGGGAUGUAUUGUUGUGGGCAAUGUUACGAAGGCUAUACUGGAGGCCCGUGUUAUCAUGAUAAUUGGUACGGAAGACCAGUACAACCACCUCCACCACCACCAUGCUACGACACAUAUUCAUAUGGAUAUGGGCCCGGGCCCGGGCCCAUACCCUAUGGACUCCCAAAGGGAUGUUAUGUGAACAAAUGUGAUUACUUUAGUGAAGAGAAUGCAUCUGGAUGCUCAAUUAUGUGAAUCUAACAUGUUGGGCCAUACUAGGGCCCUUUUUACAUUUUAAUUGGGCCUUUUCACCAAAAGUCCAAAUCAAACUUUGGAUCUAUAUGGCUAUCUUUUUGUAUGUCAUUAUUAUAGAUUAAUUACUUAUAGAAAAUAAAUAUAUAAGUUACUUACUUUUACAAGAAAAUUUGAUUAAGAGAGAAUAAUUUGGUUACCAGAU
This 919-nucleotide unclassified non-coding RNA is filed under the name Hevea brasiliensis (rubber tree). Lineage: Eukaryota; Viridiplantae; Streptophyta; Magnoliopsida; Malpighiales; Euphorbiaceae. The record is from RNAcentral.